UCAUUAUCUGUAGGUCAAUUUCAACGCUCCUCAAAUUUAAUAGACCCGAAGAAUUCUCAGCAUCUUCUAACAUGUGGAUGGAGUCAAUCCAUUGAAAAAAGCCACAAAAUGUUUGCAUCUGUAGAAAAUUAAAUUAAUAAGUACCACGACUGUAUGUAAAAAUUCUUCAAUUUUAUAUCAGAGUAAAUACAAGUACUUACACCAUAAUUUGAACAACCAUAAAACUUCCUCCCUACAUUGUUGCCCUUUGACGAUGUACAAAUUCUUGCUCGUAUCCCACAGC
This 283-nucleotide long non-coding RNA is filed under the name Panax ginseng (ginseng). Its description in RNAcentral is "long non-coding RNA (PGIN_LNC009500)". The record is from RNAcentral. Lineage: Eukaryota; Viridiplantae; Streptophyta; Magnoliopsida; Apiales; Araliaceae.